RNAcentral lists this ribosomal RNA (468 nucleotides) under uncultured bacterium. RNAcentral describes it as "partial 16S ribosomal RNA". It matches the Rfam family "Bacterial small subunit ribosomal RNA", at positions 28 to 507 of the family's 1533-position model. The record is from RNAcentral.
GAUGAACGCUGGCGGCGUGCUUAACACAUGCAAGUCGAGCGGACGGGCCCUGCUUUUGUGGGGUGCUCGUGUGGGGAGCGGGUGAGUAAAACGCGUGUAAACUGUCCUUAUAUUUGGGAUAUCUCCUGGGAAAAGGGGCGCUUAUCGCGUAGGAUCUCUUGCUGCGUGGGGGGCAAUGGAGAGAUUCGGCGGUGGGGGCUGGUCUCGCGGCUUCUCAGCUUGUUGGGGAGGUAGUGACUUACAAGGUCUUUGAAGGGUAGCCGGCCUGAGAGGGUGGACGGGCACAUGGGGACUACGAUACGGAGCAGACGCCUACGGGAGGCAGCAGUGGGGAAUAUGGCGCAAUGGCCGGAAGCCUGAGGCAGCAAUGCCGCGAGCGGGAUGACGGCCUUCGGGUGGUGAACCGCUGUCUCCGGUGACGAGGCGUGAUUGACGGUAAUGGGUAAAGAAGCACCGGCUAACUACGUG